CCAAAAAUCUAGCCUAUUCUCCACCUCUCCUUUUAAACCCCAAUCAAAAUAUUUCAACAGCCUAGUAAAGAAGAUUAAAAAACUUUUAAGAGCUAUAAGCCGUACCGCAAGGGAAAGAUGAAAUAAAAAUGAAAUAAAUCUUAAGCACAAAAAAGUAGAGAUCCCCCCUCGUACCUUUUGCAUUAUGGUUUAGCUAGUCUAACUAGGCAAAAAGACCUUAAGUCUAACCCCCCGAAACUAAGUGAGCUACUUUGGGGCUGCUUAAUGAGCUAACCCGUCUGUGUUACAAAAUAGUGGGGUGACCCCAAAAUAGAGGUGAUAUACCUAACGAACUUAGUCAUAGCUGGUUUCUCAAGAAAAGAAUUUAAGUCCAACCUAAAGUAACCCCAAUCUACAUAAAUUAGCACAUCACUUUAGAGCAAUUCAAAUGAGGUACAGCCCAUUUGAUACAGGAUACAACCUUAACUAACGGGUAACAUUAAAUCUACACCUUCAAGUAGGCCUAAGAGCAGCCACCCCUUAAAAAGCGUCAAAGCUUAAUCAUGUUCACAUCAAUUUAAAAUCCCCCAUUGACCCCUUUAACUGUACUGAGAAUUUCUAUAUCAUAUAGAACAUUUUAUGCUAAAACUAGUAACAAGAGAAAACCCUCUCCCCCAUGCAAAUUCAAGCCAGCAAGAACCCAUCACUGGCAACUAACAGGCCUAAACAAAAGUAGUAACAUCACUAGAAAACCCUACCCUCACAACUGUUAACCUAACACCAGAGCAUUUCAAGAAAGAUUAAAAGAAAAAGAAGGAACUCGGCAAACCCUAGUCCCGCCUGUUUACCAAAAACAUCGCCUCUUGCUCAUAUAAGAGGUCAAGCCUGCCCAGUGACUCUGUUCAACGGCCGCGGUAUCCUAACCGUGCGAAGGUAGCGUAAUCACUUGUUUUCUAAAUAAAGACCAGUAUGAAAGGCAUCACGAGGACUAAACUGUCUCCUCUUUCCAAUCAGUGAACCUAAUCUCCCCGUGAAGAAGCGGGGAUUACCCUAUAAGACGAGAAGACCCUAUGGAGCUUAAAACAUUAUAACAUUUGCCACCCGACUCAAUCACUCAGAUGACCCCUCCCCCAAAUGGCACUUUGAUUUUAUGUUUUCGGUUGGGGUGACCGCGGAGAAAAACUGAUCCUCCACGAUGAAAGGGACUUUCCCCUAAACAAUAAGCUACAUCUUUAUGUAUCAAUAAAUUGACAUCCAUUGACCCAAUAACUUGAUUAACGAACCAAGUUACCCUAGGGAUAACAGCGCAAUCCACUUCAAGAGCCCCUAUCGACAAGUGGGCUUACGACCUCGAUGUUGGAUCGGGGUACCCCAGUGGUGUAGUCGCUACCAAAGGUUCGUUUGUUCAACGAUUAAAACCCCACGUGAUCUGAGUUCAGACCGGAGCAAUCCAGGUCAGUUUCUAUCUAUAAAGAGCUCUUUUCAGUACGAAAGGACCAAAAUAGCAUGGCCAAUACCACCUCAAGCCAUAGUUAAUCAUUUUAGACCCCUGCUCAAAAAAUUAUUAACCUCACCUAACACUUCAAAAGAACAGUUAU
Molecule: ribosomal RNA, 1577 nt
Filed under: Pristimantis phoxocephalus (Cotopaxi robber frog)
Lineage: Eukaryota; Metazoa; Chordata; Amphibia; Anura; Strabomantidae
Description: 16S ribosomal RNA
Rfam family: Bacterial large subunit ribosomal RNA
Source: RNAcentral